GACGAACGCUGGCGGCGUGCUUAACACAUGCCAGUCGAACGGAAAGGCCCUGCUUUUGUGGGGUGCUCGAGUGGCGAACGGGUGAGUAACACGUGAGUAACCUGCCCUUGACUUUGGGAUAACUUCAGGAAACUGGGGCUAAUACCGGAUAGGAGCUCCUGCUGCAUGGUGGGGGUUGGAAAGUUUCGGCGGUUGGGGAUGGACUCGCGGCUUAUCAGCUUGUUGGUGGGGUAGUGGCUUACCAAGGCUUUGACGGGUAGCCGGCCUGAGAGGGUGACCGGCCACAUUGGGACUGAGAUACGGCCCAGACUCCUACGGGAGGCAGCAGUGGGGAAUAUUGCACAUUGGGCGGAAGCCUGAUGCAGCAACGCCGCGUGCGGGAUGACGGCCUUCGGGUUGUAAACCGCUUUCGCCUGUGACGAAGCGUGAGUGACGGUAAUGGGUAAAGAAGCACCGGCUAACUACGU
RNAcentral lists this ribosomal RNA (467 nucleotides) under uncultured bacterium. RNAcentral describes it as "partial 16S ribosomal RNA". It matches the Rfam family "Bacterial small subunit ribosomal RNA", at positions 28 to 506 of the family's 1533-position model. The record is from RNAcentral.